RNAcentral lists this transfer RNA (87 nucleotides) under Escherichia coli P0302293.10. Its description in RNAcentral is "tRNA-Lys". It matches the Rfam family "tRNA". Rfam says of the family: Transfer RNA (tRNA) molecules are approximately 80 nucleotides in length. Lineage: Bacteria; Pseudomonadati; Pseudomonadota; Gammaproteobacteria; Enterobacterales; Enterobacteriaceae. The record is from RNAcentral.
GGGUCGUUAGCUCAGUUGGUAGAGCAGUUGACUUUUAAUCGACGGCCCGAAGGGCGAGCGAAGCGAGUCAUCCUGCACGACCCACCA